This 1001-nucleotide long non-coding RNA is filed under the name Oryzias sinensis (Chinese medaka). RNAcentral describes it as "lncRNA (ENSOSIG00000010466.1)". The record is from RNAcentral. Lineage: Eukaryota; Metazoa; Chordata; Actinopteri; Beloniformes; Adrianichthyidae.
UCAGAGCGAUUUGUAAUUGGUCGGACUGGAUUGACCGUGUGGCCAUCAGAGCGGAAUCGCCCCGAUUACUGGGAAAUGUGACACCUGCUGAUGACAUCAUCUGCUGUAGUGCAAUUGAGUGCAUAUCACGUCAUCUAACCUGAAUUUAUUUUGGUUAGAUGUGUAUGAGUAACUAGAGUAUGCGAUGAUGGAGCAAACCCAAUAAAAGAAAGGAAGGACGAAAAAGCGGAUGUCUGGAAGCAAACUAGUCUGAACCAUAUGUGAUAGCCUUCAUUUUCAGAAAAGGGUGUGGCAACUCUGUUAUCACUCCUACAUUGAGGGAUAUUGUGCUCAAUAAUACAAGGACAAAUGUCACACGAGAUGUUUGUUUCAUGUUCCAGUGGUUGGACUGGGUAUGUCAUACUUGCAUAAUACUUUAUUCUUUCUUUCUAGACUCCGAAGGGCCAGAAAUUGUAAUUCUUCAAGUGGACAGCUUCCAAGCUGAACUGGAUCCCAUUUCUGCCCAACUGGUACCAGAGCAGUUAGUACAUGACCAUGUUUUCUGGCCUGGUUUGGGAUAUUUACAGGAGCUCUACCCAGUACAAGCCAUGCUGGCAGGUAUGCAUGUGUUUACAGCAAAAGUACUUUUGAGUGGUGUUUUUUGUAUUGUAUUGUUCAUGUUUUUUUAAUAUAUGCGUUAAGAAUGUUUUGCAUUGUAUUUACAGCUGAACUAUGUACUUGACAAAAGCCGAUCUGGAUCAGAAAGUUUGGUCAAGGAUGGGGAUCUCUGUCUGACAAGGGAAGACUUCAAGACUUCCAGACCUUGGAUCUUAGCCAGUGCAUGAAAUCCAAUGGAUGUAUGUUAAAGCUGAUUUGGGUAAAUACACAAAGUACUCACUUUUGUUGCUCGGUUGCAGUUUGAAAAGGCAUGCUUCAAACUAAUCAAAGGGGCCGCACAAAGACAUGUAUUAUGUAUUAAAUCACAAAAUAUGCCCUCUCAGACAUAGGACCUUAUUAUUGUU